AAAUCCAAUGUUCUAUUUCAUUUCUCCGCCGCCAGUCAAGACUCCGCCACCCCUCCGCCUGAGGCUCGAGCUCCUCUUCCCCCUAAGCCUUAGAUUGCUUUUCCGACAAGCUAACCUUCCACCGAUUGCUUUCAUCGACGGCGCCGACCUCUUCGAGAAAUCUGGGCCGAACUCGAAUCCCCAAUCUGCAAGGUUGUAAUCCAUUUCGAAGUAGGUCUAGAAGUGGAAGUAUUGGCUGAAGUUCUUCUUCCAUCUGCUUCGGAAAGUUUAGAGGAAUUGGAGAUCAAUUUUCUAAUAAAGGAGUGAAGAAUUUUACAGAGGAGCUAAGCUAGUUUUUUUUGGUUGCUUAAAACUGCAUCACCGGGAAACUCUCUUCUUUCAGAUUAAAGUUGUGAGCAAUUAUUGAAUAAGUUCUAGCCACCACAAACUCCACUCUCCAACUGUUACUUUCCAGAUUUUCAUCGAGUCAGCUCACUUUUAAGACCUCCUUAUAAUUGAUGUAUUGGAAUAUAUCCCUUCACAUGUAGCGAAAUUCUUCUACUGGACAGGAUUGAGUGAAGAUGUUGUGUACAAAUAUUGGUACACAAGGGCAAGAGAUAGAUAUAAAGAUCUUAUUCAUAAGAUCAAGAGGUGCCGAAACAACGAGAAUCCACCUCCAUUCAUUCCUGGAAGAGAUUGGGCAAGUUGGAAAGAGUAUUGGGGUCGGGAUGAUGUGAAAGAAAAAGCAGAAAAGGCGCGAAGGAAUAGGAUGUCUGAACCAGAUGGAGUUGGAACAGGGAUCAUAAAGCAUAGAGGUGGCUCAAGAUGUGCUUUGGAUUACGCCAUGGAAAUGGCAAAAGAGAAAGGAGUCACCGUAGAAGAGGUCCAGCUCGAUGUGUUCGAAAGGUUUCACGUCACAAAAUCUGGUGAUUACACAGAUGGGAAGUCUCGUGCUAUUGCAAUGAAGGUGAAUGAGCGUAUUGAGACAUUGAGCUAGCCUGUUCCCGGAACAGAUGAGGUGCCAGAGGUGGAUAGGAAUGAGAUCUUCAAAAGUCUUAUCCAGCCCUCGAAGAAGAAGAGAUUGUUUGGUGCUGGCUCUCUUGCGCAUUGCUAUAUUAGUGGUUCAUCGAGUGCUGAUUCUGCAGCAACCUCCCAGCUCGAUUCCACUGCUCAGCAGAAGUUGGUGGAGGUGCAGGAACUGUUAGAGUUAGAGAGAGAGGAGCGUCAUCAAAGCGAGGAAAAGUUGCGAGCAGAGCUGAGGGCACGAGACGAGGCACAAGCACAGAUGCAGGCACAGUUUCAGGCACAGAUUCAGGCUCAGCUACGAGCUCAGCAGGAGGCGUUUGAGCAAGCUCUAUCGAAGCUAUAUAGUGGUAGAGGAGGCUCAUCAUCUUCCUCUUGAUCCUUUUAUCUUUAUAUGUUGGUUUGGAACUAUUUUAAACACUUUGAUUUUAACUUUUAGUUAUGUUGGAGAUUGAACUUGUUAUGUUGGAUUUCUAUGAAUUAAUGUGAUAUAAGACUUUUUGUUAUUUAUA
Salvia miltiorrhiza (redroot sage) is the source of this 1514-nucleotide long non-coding RNA. RefSeq lists it as uncharacterized. The record is from RefSeq and is a predicted model, not a curated record. NCBI's taxonomy places the organism in Eukaryota, Viridiplantae, Streptophyta, Magnoliopsida, Lamiales, Lamiaceae. The transcript is spliced from 8 exons.